GGGGGCGAAAGGAUUCGACGGGGUUCUUUGGAAUGAAGGUUGCAUGCCGGGCUGCCACAAUCCCGUAAAAAGGUGGCAAGAAAUAACUGGCGAAUAUAACUUCGCAUUGGCUGCUUAAUGCAGUCACGUCCACCCCAUAAACCCCGCUCCCGGUUUUGGGGAUGGGCGUGGAUAAAGGGAGCUGGUCUUCCUUGCCUGCCCUGGUAGGGAAGACGAGAUAUCACGGGCUUUGGCAGGGACAACUCGGUUACGGGAGGUAUCCCUGUCGAGAUAAAAACCGUGACUAAGCAUGUAGAUACCCUCAUAGCCGGUUCUCCGGACGCGGGUUCGAUUCCCGCCGCCUCCACCA
Molecule: transfer-messenger RNA, 349 nt
Filed under: bacterium
Lineage: Bacteria
Also listed under: 2 other names
Description: UBA3073 sp002366725 Standard tmRNA
Rfam family: transfer-messenger RNA
About the family: Bacterial tmRNA, also known as 10Sa RNA or SsrA, is named for its dual tRNA and mRNA-like properties. Its role is to liberate the mRNA from a stalled ribosome. To accomplish this part of the tmRNA is used as a reading frame that ends in a translation stop signal.
Source: RNAcentral